RNAcentral lists this ribosomal RNA (381 nucleotides) under uncultured bacterium. Its description in RNAcentral is "bacterial SSU rRNA". It matches the Rfam family "Bacterial small subunit ribosomal RNA", at positions 29 to 426 of the family's 1533-position model. The record is from RNAcentral.
AACGAACGCUGGCGGCAUGCCUAACACAUGCAAGUCGAACGGGAUCCUAGCUUGCUAGGUGAGAGUGGCGGACGGGUGAGUAACACGUGGGAAUCUCGCCUUUUUGGUUCGGGAUAACCGCGGGAAACUGCGGCUAAUACCGAAUGCCCUCGAGAGAGGAAAGAUUUAUCGCCAGAAGAGGAGCCCGCGUCCGAUUAGGUAGUUGGUGGGGUAAAGGCCUACCAAGCCGACGAUCGGUAGCUGGUCUGAGAGGAUGAUCAGCCACACUGGGACUGAGAUACGGCCCAGACUCCUACGGGAGGCAGCAGUGGGGAAUAUUGGACAAUGGGGGCAACCCCUGAUCCAGCAAUGCCGCGUGAGUGAUGAAGGCCUUAGGGUUGU